AACGAACGCUGGCGGCAUGCCUAACACAUGCAAGUCGAACGAGACCUUCGGGUCUAGUGGCGCACGGGUGCGUAACGCGUGGGAAUCUGCCCUUGGGUUCGGAAUAACAGUUGGAAACGACUGCUAAUACCGGAUGAUGACGUAAGUCCAAAGAUUUAUCGCCCAGGGAUGAGCCCGCGUAGGAUUAGCUAGUUGGUGGGGUAAAGGCCUACCAAGGCGACGAUCCUUAGCUGGUCUGAGAGGAUGAUCAGCCACACUGGGACUGAGACACGGCCCAGACUCCUACGGGAGGCAGCAGUGGGGAAUAUUGGACAAUGGGCGAAAGCCUGAUCCAGCAAUGCCGCGUGAGUGGUGAAGGCCUUAGGGUUGUAAAGCUCUUUUACCCGGGAUGAUAAUGACAGUACCGGGAGAAUAAGCCCCGGCUAACUCCGUG
RNAcentral lists this ribosomal RNA (433 nucleotides) under uncultured bacterium. Its description in RNAcentral is "partial 16S ribosomal RNA". It matches the Rfam family "Bacterial small subunit ribosomal RNA", at positions 29 to 507 of the family's 1533-position model. The record is from RNAcentral.